GAAGACUGGAGUAAUGAUGCUGAAAAUUCAGCUUUGAUUACUGGAAUAAAUUACAUUUUAACAUAUAUUCACAUAGAAAACCCUUAUUUUAAAUUGUAAUAAUAUUUCACAAUAUUGCUGUUUUUUUUUUCUGUAUUUUUGAUCAAAUAAAUGCAGCCUUUAUUAUAAGAGACUUCUUUCAAAAACAUUAAAAAUAGUAAUGUGACUUUUGACCGGAACUGCAUGUGUAUAUUAUAUAUAUAUACACACACACACACACAUAACAUACACAUGUAUACACAUAUUAUUACAUUAUUUUAUGCAUGACACAUUUGUUUACAAUAACAGAUCAACACGUGCAGGUAUGCUCACAAGGACACUCAUAAACACACGAGCACACGGCAUCAGUUGUCAAUUAUUAAACAAACAUGAUCCUGUUCAGAGAGAGAGAGAGAGAGAGAGGCCACAGCCAUUUCACACAUGCACGUCUCACCUUGAACAUCAACACACUCCCGCUGGAUAUUUCCCACAGGAUUAUUCUGCUUCCUGAUGAACUCUGACCGUCACUGAUGGACACAGCCACUCCUCCGAACUUCCCCGAUGAUCCAAGACGGUUUCAUCAAAGGCCUCCUGAUUCAUCUGCACAGAGAGAGCCCUCGAUCUUACCCAGCGUUCCAGCAUACGACUCGGUCAGCAUCCUCACCACUGGCCCAACAAACGACACGGACAGCAUCCAGACAGGCCACCCGGUGACCGACGGCGACAGCAUCCAAACGGCCCAUCCCGCGUACGACACAGACAGCAACCAAACGGCCCAUCUGGCGUACGAGACGGACAGCAACCGAACCCUGAACCCAUCGUUCGACACGGACAGCACACACACCCUCCACCCCGCGUACACGCUGGACAGGGUGACCAUGGAGGGAGUCCCAGGGCCUCCUGGAGGUGAUGGUCCAGCCUCCAGCAUCUCAAUGAAUCCACCUCCAUACAGCCCACCAGAUCCUAAAACAGCCGGCCUCAUGUUCCCCUCACCGAUGAUGCAUUACCCCAACCACCCCGUCAUCACCUGUCAACCUGGAGCCAAUCCGCCAGCUUUCUACCAGCCCUCCUUCCUCCCGCCGUCCACCUACCCGUCCUACACUAUAUACAUGAACGGGCCGCCGUUGGGAGAGGAGCAGCCGGCCUUACCGAAAGACUACCUGGUGGAGUCUCUGCUGGUGACCAUCUUCUGCUGUCUCAUGAGCGGCCUCGUCGCAGUCAUGUACUCGUAUGAAACGCGUGCUGCGCUGACCAGGGGUGAUAUCCGUGAAGCUGAGAAAACGUCCCAGAAGGCUCGUCUGCUUGUCAUGUUCAGUUUGAUGUUUGGCAUAUUUGUUUUUGUGGGCUGGAUUAUUUAUGUAGUGAUAGUGCUCUGUGCAUAGAAACUGUUUUAUCUGUCAGUAGUUAUGUACACUACUGUUCAAAAGUUUGGAGUUGGCAAAAAUGUAUAAUUUUUAAGUCUUUGAAAGACGUCUCUUCUGCUCACCAAAGCUGUGUUUAUUUGAUUAAAAAUAAAAUAAAAACUGUAACCGUUUUCUAUGUGAAUAUAUUGUAAAAUGUAAUUUAUUUCUGUGAUCUGAAUUUUCAGCAUCAUUUCUCCAGUCUUCAGUGUCACAAGAUCCUUAAGAAAUUAUUCUAAUACGCUGAUUUGUGAUUAUUAAACAUUUAUGAUUAUUAAUAAUGUUGAAAGGCUGAAUAAAAAGUAUUUUCUUUAAAAAAAAUAACCUUACUGCCCCCAAGCUUUCGAACGAUAGUGUAAUUGCUGCGAAGAAACUAGUUUUACAGCAUGGAGAUUGUUGUUUGAAGGUGUCAUUUCUCACUCUUUACUAUUAUUCUAAAAUGUGGAAAAUAGUAAUAAAUCAAGUCAUUACAAUUCUGAAAUAACACAAAUGGAAGUAUGGGAAUUGCAUACCAAUCAAAACAUCUGAAAAUGCUGGUCAAACAUUUGACUGUUUGUGUACAAUAUGUAGCAAAUACAGAAAACUGAAACUCCUGUAUAUACAAGUGAUUCUCAUAUUAAAAGCCUGUAAAAGUUGUGAGCAAUUUAAACACUAAAGUCUUACAUUGUAAACAGAUUCACCCCUGACUUCACUGUAUCAAAAAAUAACAUAUUAUAGCAUUUCAUGAUUCAGAAGGAAAUCAUUGAUAGAGUUUGUAUUUACAUUCAAAGGUCUUAUAAGUAAUAACUACCACCUCGGAUUAUGGCAUUUGUUCCUAGAAUCAAAAAUGAAAGACCUUCCUGUCACUGGUAAUAAACCUUGUGCCUUUGUUGACUUUACUAAGUAAAGACUACCAUAAUGUACAAUUACUAACAAACAGAAUUAUGUGUACAGUCUCUAAAUAUUUGUAAUAUGCACUAUUGUGUGAAAGUAAGUAGCACCCUGCAGCGCUCAAUAAAGAAAAAGCUAUUCAUUGUGUUUAAAUUAUCAGUGAAGACCUUGAAAGAGAUAUAUCAAUAAAAUGACUUUUAUUACAUUAUUAAGCCUGAUUCUCUCAGCAUGGUUUGGAGAGCUCGCAUUAAAUACAAUGAAGAGCAAAACAGAGCUGGAAAAACAAGAAGUGACCAACAGAGGGCGUCACUGCAGCUUAUAUGGUUUUUGGCUUAUAUGGGUUGACCAUUAUACAUAAACCACAACGAUUUACAAUAAAAGUAAAAGAAUAAAAACAUCAGAUGUAAAAUAAUACAAUAAAUACUGCACAUUGAACACAAUAUCUAAAUAACGUCACAAUAUCUAAAUAAUGUUUAGCUGCACUUUGGCACUAAAAAAUAAAUAAAUAAACAGGAAGUAAGCUAUAAAGUCAAACUCUAAACCAAGAAAGGUCUAAAAUUAAUUUAAAAUAAAAACAUUAAUAGGCGUCAUAUAAAACAGUGUUGUGCAGUGCAGUGAGUUCAUGAUGGCAUAAAUCAUUCAAGAAUCAAUCAACACACAAAGCAACCUUGGGUUUUAGAAACUACAUAAAUAAAUAAAAAUAUUAUUAUUAUAAUUACAUCAGUCAGAAUAGUUUGAGAGGUGAUAAAGACGAGACUUAAAAGAACAAUGGAAUGUGGCAACAGCAAAUUUCAAAACAAUAAUAGUUACAAUAAAUCAUGUCAAAUUGGGCCUUAAAAAUGGAGAUACUAAUUUUGUUUACAUUUUGUCUAAUUAAAAGAGAUUAAAAAAAAAUACUUAAGUGGCACUUACAGCAGUAAAUCUGAGCAGCUAUUAGUGCGCUAUCAGCUUCCUCAUGCAUGAAAAACAAGUUUUGCCGAAGAAGAAUUUAAGGCUGUUCAUAUUCUAGACACUGCAUGGAAUAUUUUUAACAGCGAUGCUGUUGUAGACAUUAUUUGCAGUGAUCAACGCUUAAGGCUGUUUAAAGGGAUGGUUCACCCAAAAAUGAAAAUUACCCCAUGAUUUAUUCACCCUCAAGCCAUCCAAGGUGUAUAUGACUAUCUUCUUUCAGAUGAACACAAUCGGAGAUAUAUUUAAAAAAUAUCUUUAUAAUGGUAGUGAAUGGGGGGCGAGAUUUUGAAGCCCCCAAAAAAUGCAUCCAUCCAUCGUAAAAAUAAUCCAUCCGGCUCCAGGGGGUUAAUAAAGGCGAAAUCCUCCGACAUUUCUCUUUAAAAUUUCUCGUUUUAGACUUCUAAUUCGUGACCGGUGUUUUGUUUUGCGCUAUCCUUUGCACUUCCGCGUUCGUCAUUGCGUCAUGCGUCAGGUCAAAGGUUACUCUUCCGCCACAAAUCGAUGCGUACGGCCGUCUGCCGGAAGCUAGUUAUAAUAGUUAAUAAAGUUAUAAAUAUGGAUAUUUUUCUUACAAAAACCCAUCGCUUCGCUUCAGAAGGCCUUUAUUAACCCACUGGAGCCGUAUGGAUUAUAUUUAUGAUGGAUAGAUGCAUUUUUUUGGGCUUCAAAAUCUCGCCCCC
Long non-coding RNA from Ctenopharyngodon idella (grass carp), 3919 nucleotides. RefSeq lists it as uncharacterized. Lineage: Eukaryota; Metazoa; Chordata; Actinopteri; Cypriniformes; Xenocyprididae. The record is from RefSeq and is a predicted model, not a curated record. The transcript has 4 exons.